Molecule: long non-coding RNA, 399 nt
Organism: Chenopodium quinoa (quinoa)
Lineage: Eukaryota; Viridiplantae; Streptophyta; Magnoliopsida; Caryophyllales; Amaranthaceae
Exons: 3
Source: RefSeq, a predicted model, not a curated record
CCUAAGAUUUUUUAGGGUUACUGAUUUUAUUUUGCAAAACCUAGUAGCCGACAUAUUCAUCUCUUAUCCUCAUCUUAGUCACUAUCCCUCUUCUCCCUCAUUUUUCUUCCUCUCUGACUCUUUAUAUCAAUUUCAUAAUUUCUACAUCUUUUUCUCCUUCAAAUCUUAAUUAUUGUGAGAUCAAGACCAUUGAUUUUCAAACAAAUCGACCACCACAUGCAAUCAUAUUGUUAAUUGCUCGCCUCCAAUACAAUAUUCACAAUGAAAUCUGAAUUUGUUUGUCUCAUACAACGGAGUCGAGUACUGGGUCUUGCAAAAUGUCAAGUGCAGAAGGCAGUCCAAGUUUUGUUGGGACUCCCCUUGCUGAUGAUGAUAAUGAGAAGGUAGCCCAAGAAGGAA